Long non-coding RNA from Aquila chrysaetos chrysaetos, 188 nucleotides. RefSeq lists it as uncharacterized. NCBI's taxonomy places the organism in Eukaryota, Metazoa, Chordata, Aves, Accipitriformes, Accipitridae. The record is from RefSeq and is a predicted model, not a curated record. The transcript has 3 exons.
UCAGACAAUUCCAUAUUUCUCAGGGUGUCGUCCACAAUUUGCUUUACUUGGAGGGGUGUCGAGUACACUUGGAAUUGAUUGCCCCAGAGGUGGAAACACAGCCCCACCGUUUGCCAUGGACUAAUCCAGACUGCACUGGAAAGAGGUGAAGCUCCAGAACACAUGCAAUACAUUGAUGACAUUAUCGU